AAAGAAGCAAAAAGAGUGGGAUCAUUUACCAUUAAUUAUAAUGAGUCGAGAAGCAAGAAAAACAUUACUAUAACAGACAUUUUGAUUCUUAAAGAGGAAACUUGUAAAAUGGAUUUGGCAGUAAUUGAAUGUAAAAAAUGGAGAGAUGGUACUUCUUCGUCAGAUCCUGAGGUAUUGCUUGAUGCAAUAAAUGUAACCAAAAAUGAAGAUAUUCAGCCUGACACCAAAAUUCUGGUCUUGUCGAGUGAUGGUGUAAAGGGCUGCGGCCAAUUUUGUGUUGCCUACAACGCUCUAGACCAAAUCUCCCUUGAUAGAGAAGUCGAUGUAUUCACUAGUACACGACUGUUACAAAUUAG
Saccostrea echinata is the source of this 356-nucleotide long non-coding RNA. RefSeq lists it as uncharacterized. The record is from RefSeq and is a predicted model, not a curated record. NCBI's taxonomy places the organism in Eukaryota, Metazoa, Mollusca, Bivalvia, Ostreida, Ostreidae. The transcript has 3 exons.